GAUAGAAAUAGACAUGCAUCAUGCUUGUUUGCGCAUAUCUCUGUGCUAUGUAACUCUGUGAUUGUGUGUGUGUGCUGCAUGACUGAUUGACUUCUGAGUUCUUUUAUUAUUCAUGCUUAUAAGUGUUUUGUUGUUAGUUGCGAUCGGUUAAUAAUGGCAAAAUGAACUUAACUUCUAACCCCGACCCUACUAAGAACUUCCCAGUUCUUACCCCCUAUCUCCACCCCUUUCAGCUACAGGUGCAAAGGCUCAUUGUCAAGUUACGGGAGCACAGAGGAAUAUGUUUAUAAGUUGAGUUGUUAGGAUUUGUUUUCCCCUCGCCUUGUUAAUUAGAGUUUUUAGAGGGGUAGGAUUUGUUUUUGGAAAUCUUGAAAUAAGUUUAUGUAUUUAAUUCUAUGUGAAUAUAUAUACUUUU
RNAcentral lists this long non-coding RNA (415 nucleotides) under Arachis ipaensis. RNAcentral describes it as "long non-coding RNA (AIPA_LNC001403)". Lineage: Eukaryota; Viridiplantae; Streptophyta; Magnoliopsida; Fabales; Fabaceae. The record is from RNAcentral.